RNAcentral lists this ribosomal RNA (423 nucleotides) under Verrucomicrobiota bacterium. RNAcentral describes it as "Verrucomicrobia bacterium partial 16S ribosomal RNA". It matches the Rfam family "Bacterial small subunit ribosomal RNA", at positions 355 to 776 of the family's 1533-position model. The record is from RNAcentral. Lineage: Bacteria; Pseudomonadati; Verrucomicrobiota.
UGAGGAAUAUUGGUCAAUGGACGCAAGUCUGAACCAGCCAAGUAGCGUGCAGGAUGACGGCCCUAUGGGUUGUAAACUGCUUUUAUAUGGGGAUAAAGUGGGGAACGUGUUCCCUUUUGCAGGUACCAUAUGAAUAAGGACCGGCUAAUUCCGUGCCAGCAGCCGCGGUAAUACGGAAGGUUCGGGCGUUGUCCGGAUUUAUUGGGCGUAAAGCGAGCGCAGGCGGUUAGAAAAGUCUGAAGUGAAAGGCAGUGGCUCAACCAUUGUAGGCUUUGGAAACUGUUUAACUUGAGUGCAGAAGGGGAGAGUGGAAUUCCAUGUGUAGCGGUGAAAUGCGUAGAUAUAUGGAGGAACACCGGUGGCGAAAGCGGCUCUCUGGUCUGUAACUGACGCUGAGGCUCGAAAGCGUGGGGAGCGAACAGG